AGAUUGAAGGAGCUUGCUCCUGAUUGAUAAACAUUUGAGUGAGUGGCGGACGGGUGAGUAACACGUGGGUAACCUGCCCUAAAGUGGGGGAUAACAUUUGGAAACAGAUGCUAAUACCGCAUAAAACCUAACACCGCAUGGUGUAGGGUUGAAAGAUGGUUUCGGCUAUCACUUUAGGAUGGACCCGCGGUGCAUUAGUUAGUUGGUGAGGUAAAGGCUCACCAAGACCGUGAUGCAUAGCCGACCUGAGAGGGUAAUCGGCCACACUGGGACUGAGACACGGCCCAGACUCCUACGGGAGGCAGCAGUAGGGAAUCUUCCACAAUGGACGAAAGUCUGAUGGAGCAACGCCGCGUGAGUGAAGAAGGUUUUCGGAUCGUAAAACUCUGUUGUUGGAGAAGAAUGUAUCUGAUAGUAACUGAUCAGGUAGUGACGGUAUCCAACCAGAAAGCCACGGCUAACUACGUGCCAGCAGCCGCGGUAAUACGUAGGUGGCAAGCGUUGUCCGGAUUUAUUGGGCGUAAAGCGAGCGCAGGCGGUUUCUUAAGUCUGAUGUGAAAGCCUUCGGCUCAACCGAAGAAGUGCAUCGGAAACUGGGAAACUUGAGUGCAGAAGAGGACAGUGGAACUCCAUGUGUAGCGGUGAAAUGCGUAGAUAUAUGGAAGAACACCAGUGGCGAAGGCGGCUGUCUGGU
Molecule: ribosomal RNA, 694 nt
Filed under: uncultured Bacilli bacterium
Lineage: Bacteria; Bacillati; Bacillota; Bacilli
Description: bacterial SSU rRNA
Rfam family: Bacterial small subunit ribosomal RNA
Source: RNAcentral